UGUUUCAUUGUCUAAUACGUUCUCCUAUUUAUUUGUAUUGUAGUCCUGUUAUAUUAUGUUGUCAUUUCAAUGUUAUAUUUAACAUUGCCAUUAAAGUGCGAGGUUUGGCAUGCCACAAAACCAGGUUCAACCCACCAUUUUUUCCUUUAAAAAUGUCCUGUACCAAGUCAGGAUUAUGGCAAUUGUUAUAUUAUAGUUCGUUUCUGUGUGUGUUACAAUUUAACGUUGCGUCGUUUGUUUUCUC
RNAcentral lists this long non-coding RNA (244 nucleotides) under Mytilus galloprovincialis (Mediterranean mussel). The record is from RNAcentral. Lineage: Eukaryota; Metazoa; Mollusca; Bivalvia; Mytilida; Mytilidae.